AACGAACGCUGGCGGCAUGCCUAACACAUGCAAGUCGAACGGGAUCCUGGUUUCGGCCAGGUGAGAGUGGCGGACGGGUGAGUAACGCGUGGGAACCUGCCCAGUGGUGGGGGAUAACUGCGGGAAACUGCAGCUAAUACCGCAUGAGCCCGCAAGGGGAAAGAUUGAUCGCCAUUGGAGGGGCCCGCGUUCGAUUAGGUAGUUGGUGAGGUAACGGCUCACCAAGCCUUCGAUCGAUAGCUGGUCUGAGAGGAUGAUCAGCCACACUGGGACUGAGAUACGGCCCAGACUCCUACGGGAGGCAGCAGUGGGGAAUAUUGGACAAUGGGGCGAACCCUGAUCCAGCAAUGCCGCGUGAGUGAUGAAGG
Molecule: ribosomal RNA, 368 nt
Filed under: uncultured bacterium
Lineage: Bacteria
Description: bacterial SSU rRNA
Rfam family: Bacterial small subunit ribosomal RNA
Source: RNAcentral